AAUGCCAAGAUGAGUCGC
This 18-nucleotide transfer RNA is filed under the name Canis lupus (wolf). Its description in RNAcentral is "partial tRNA-Phe". Lineage: Eukaryota; Metazoa; Chordata; Mammalia; Carnivora; Canidae. The record is from RNAcentral.